RNAcentral lists this long non-coding RNA (746 nucleotides) under Prunus persica (peach). Its description in RNAcentral is "long non-coding RNA (PPER_LNC000038)". Lineage: Eukaryota; Viridiplantae; Streptophyta; Magnoliopsida; Rosales; Rosaceae. The record is from RNAcentral.
UGAUAUCAUUUGGAAACAUCGUGUGGUUAAAGCCAAAAUCAAAGUGCAAUAGUUGUGUAAGCAUUUUCUACGUAGGGCAUACUUUUCCUCGUAGCAAUGGAAUAUAUAAAAUUGCUCUUCGAAUUGCUGACUGCACGUCCCUUGGCCUUCUUGUUGUUGUUGACCAUAAUAUCUUUGCCUUCCACAACGUUACUUGCUGUAUUGCUCUGGUUGCUUCAUUUGCUCUGCACAAUGCUGCCGAUGCUGUUCCGAUAUUCAACUCUGAUGAUACUCGUUACUUUACUUUUCAAUUUCCAUCUCCUAUUGUAUACAAAUUUAUCUCUUUAAUGUCCCUUGCUAUUUCAAUUCCCAUUUUAUUUUAUUUCUACAAAAUUGUUUGCAUUUCUUGCACUCUUGCGUCUAUGCUAUAAUGAUCUCAGAUUCAAUUCAAACCAUAAUAAUGUGUAUGAAAAGUCUAUGCUAUAAUGAUAUCAUAUUCAAACCGCAAUAAUAUAUACGAAAAAUCCAUGCUAUAAUGAUCUCAAAUUCAAACCACAAUAAUGUGUAUGAAAAAUCUCCUUCCUCUCUUCCUUAACAGGGUGAAAUUUUACCAAAAAAACCUCAUCCUUAGAGCAAGCCCAGCGCAGCCAACAAACCGGGCCAAAGGCAGCCCGAGAGAAGCCAGACCAGCUCCAGCGCAGAAGGAGAAGCCCGGGCAAGGUGCGGGUCCCACGAGCCCGGGCAGGCCCAAGGGCGAAAUCAGACUG